GAUGUUCUAUUUCUUUGUUGACUUAUUUGGAACCUGCUAUAGAAAGAAACGGGACCCGUUUCCACAUCCUUCUCAGAUUGUGAAACCCUGACUGCUGUUGCCAUUACUGACACUCAUUUACAACAUGUGGGUUCACUCAGCUUUCACAGAUGGAGUUCUGUCUGCAUUUGUUGACUGAGUCCAUUUGAGCAGAGUCAUUCAGGUUUGUCUGAAUAUGAAACCAAAAAGCCUGAGGAGAAAUAUAACAUUAUGAACUGCACUGAAAAGAACGAAUCAGACACAUCCUGGAGAAAUAGAGAUUAUCUUCUGGAACUGACCGACCUCUGAAGCUCAAUACAUUCUGUUUUUGAAGUGUGAGGAUUGAGCACCAUGUAUGCAUUCAGACAAUGAAUCUUAACUGCAAUCAAACAGUACAUCUUAAUUAAUUAGUUGGACAGGAGUCCAAACCAAAGAGGCUGUGAGUUUUAAUGACUAUUGAA
Molecule: long non-coding RNA, 479 nt
Organism: Tupaia belangeri chinensis (Chinese tree shrew)
Lineage: Eukaryota; Metazoa; Chordata; Mammalia; Scandentia; Tupaiidae
Exons: 4
Source: RefSeq, a predicted model, not a curated record